UACGGGAGGCAGCAGUGGGGAAUAUUGCACAAUGGGCGAAAGCCUGAUGCAGCUAUGCCGCGUGUAUGAAGAAGGCCUUAGGGUUGUAAAGUACUUUCAUCGGGGAGGAAAAAACAAAACUAAUAAUUUUAUUUCUUGACGUUACCCGAAAAAGAAGCACCGGCUAACUCCGUGCCAGCAGCCGCGGUAAUACGGAGGGUGCUAGUGUUAAUCAGAAUUACUGGGCGUAAAGAGCACGUAGGUGGUUUUUUUAAGUCAGAUGUGAAAUCCCUGGGCUUAACCUAGGAACUGCAUUUUGAAACUGAAAUACUAGAGUAUCGUAGAGGGAGGUAGAAUUCUAGGUGUAGCGGUGAAAUGCGUAGAUAUCUGGAGGAAUACCUGUGGCGAAAGCGGCCUCCUAAACGAAUACUGACACUGAGGUGCGAAAGCGUGGGGAGCAAACAGGGAUUAGAUACC
RNAcentral lists this ribosomal RNA (456 nucleotides) under uncultured bacterium. RNAcentral's name for it is "bacterial SSU rRNA". It matches the Rfam family "Bacterial small subunit ribosomal RNA", at positions 340 to 786 of the family's 1533-position model. The record is from RNAcentral.